RNAcentral lists this ribosomal RNA (491 nucleotides) under uncultured bacterium. RNAcentral describes it as "partial 16S ribosomal RNA". It matches the Rfam family "Bacterial small subunit ribosomal RNA", at positions 29 to 507 of the family's 1533-position model. The record is from RNAcentral.
GUGAACGCUGGCGGUAGGCCUAACACAUGCAAGUCGAACGGCAGCACAGUAAGAGCUUGCUCUUACGGGUGGCGAGUGGCGGACGGGUGAGGAAUACAUCGGAAUCUACUUUUUCGUGGGGGAUAACGUAGGGAAACUUACGCUAAUACCGCAUACGACCUACGGGUGAAAGCGGGGGAUCUUCGGACCUUGCGCGAUUGAAUGAGCCGAUGUCGGAUUAGCUAGUUGGCGGGGUAAAGGCACACCAAGGCGACGAUCCGUAGCUGGUCUGAGAGGAUGAUCAGCCACACUGGAACUGAGACACGGUCCAGACUCCUACGGGAGGCAGCAGUGGGGAAUAUUGGACAAUGGGCGCAAGCCUGAUCCAGCCAUACCGCGUGGGUGAAGAAGGCCUUCGGGUUGUAAAGCCCUUUUGUUGGGAAAGAAAAGCAGCAGGUUAAUACCCCGCUGUUCUGACGGUACCCAAAGAAUAAGCACCGGCUAACUUCGUG